Molecule: ribosomal RNA, 455 nt
Filed under: uncultured bacterium
Lineage: Bacteria
Description: bacterial SSU rRNA
Rfam family: Bacterial small subunit ribosomal RNA
Source: RNAcentral
UACGGGAGGCAGCAGUGGGGAAUAUUGCACAAUGGGCGCAAGCUUGAUGCAGCCAUGCCGCGUGUAUGAAGAAGGCCUUCGGGUUGUAAAGUACUUUCAGUCGUGAGGAAGGUGUUAAGGUUAAUAACCUUAGCAAUUGACGUUAGCGACAGAAGAAGCACCGGCUAACUCCGUGCCAGCAGCCGCGGUAAUACGGAGGGUGCGAGCGUUAAUCGGAAUUACUGGGCGUAAAGGGCACGCAGGCGGUUAAUUAAGUUGGAUGUGAAAUCCCCGGGCUUAACCUGGGAAUGGCAUUCAAGCUGGUUAGCUAGAGUCUUGUAGAGGGGGUAGAAUUCCAUGUGUAGCGGUGAAAUGCGUAGAGAUGUGGAGGAAUACCGGUGGCGAAGGCGGCCCCUGGGACAAAGGACUGACGCUCAUGUGCGAAAGCGUGGGGAGCGAAACAGGGAUUAGAUACC